UGGGGAACGUGUUUUAAAAAAACAUAGUUCUGGGUCGUAUCUUUUUUACGCAAAACAGCACGCAUGCUAAUUUACCAAGGAAAAUGUGCGUGCUGGGUGCAUUCUAUGGCGGUGCCUUCUAGAUGUGUUUCAGAACUAUGCAUCCAGAAGCAUGCCCAAACGGGUAUUCGGGAAAGUAUUCCGAAAAAAAUAGUUCUGGGUCGUAUCUUUUUUACGCAAAACAAAUUUACCCAGCAAAAUGUGCGUGCUGGGGGCAGUCUUUUGGGUGCCAUCUGGGUGUAUUUCAAUAUAGUGCAUCCAGGUGUAUUUUAGUGGGAAUGUAAAAAAACCAAACUCAAACCCGAAGGUUGCCGAUGCCCAUUUUUUUUACAAUCGGUUUUUUUCGGAACUGUUCUCUUGACAAACAAAUAAUAAAGACAAAAGGGAACAUGCAAGGAAGCGAGCGGUUUUUCUUGUCUCUUGCAUUUCUCGUCAGUUGCAUUUUUAGUUCUGAAAAGUGAAGUUCGUGCCACGUGUUUUGAAAAAGUGUGUUGCUUUCUGCCACCAAUUUUACAUCAAUAUUUUCACAGAAUCGCAAAAAAUGAAUGGGCACACCAAGGACUGAACUGCGUAAAUGACAAAAGUACAUAAACAAGAAGGAAGCACCGUACAGAAGGGGAGUUACUCCGAUUAAAAAUUAGUUGCGUUUUUGAAUAUUGAAAUGAAAAUAAA
Drosophila suzukii is the source of this 711-nucleotide non-coding RNA. The record is from RefSeq and is a predicted model, not a curated record. Lineage: Eukaryota; Metazoa; Arthropoda; Insecta; Diptera; Drosophilidae.